GAUGAACGCUAGCGGCAGGCCUAAUACAUGCAAGUCGAGGGGCAGCGGGUGUAGCAAUACAUGCCGGCGACCGGCGCACGGGUGCGUAACGCGUAUGCAACUUACCUCUAACAGGGGGAAUAGCCCCGAGAAAUCGGGAUUAAUACCUCAUAACAUUUAUCAUUCGCAUGUUUGAUAAAUUAAAGCUCCGGCGGUUAGAGAUGGGCAUGCGUGACAUUAGCUAGUUGGUGAGGUAACGGCUCACCAAGGCUGCGAUGUCUAGGGGUUCUGAGAGGACAUUCCCCCACACUGGUACUGAGACACGGACCAGACUCCUACGGGAGGCAGCAGUAAGGAAUAUUGGGCAAUGGGACGCAAGUCUGACCCAGCCAUGCCGCGUGC
Molecule: ribosomal RNA, 381 nt
Filed under: uncultured bacterium
Lineage: Bacteria
Description: bacterial SSU rRNA
Rfam family: Bacterial small subunit ribosomal RNA
Source: RNAcentral